RNAcentral lists this ribosomal RNA (434 nucleotides) under uncultured bacterium. Its description in RNAcentral is "partial 16S ribosomal RNA". It matches the Rfam family "Bacterial small subunit ribosomal RNA", at positions 27 to 507 of the family's 1533-position model. The record is from RNAcentral.
GAACGAACGCUGGCGGCAUGCCUAACACUUGCAAGUCGAACGAGACCUUCGGGUCUAGUGGCGCACGGGUGCGUAACGCGUGGGAACCUGCCCUUAGGUUCGGAAUAACUCCCCGAAAGGGGUGCUAAUACCGGAUAAUGUCUUCGGACCAAAGAUUUAUCGCCUUUGGAUGGCCCCGCGUUGGAUUAGUUGGUUGGUAGGUUAAAAGCCUACCAAGGCGACGAUCAAUAGCUGGUCUGAGAGGAUGAUCAGCCACACUGGGACUGAGACACGGCCCAGACUCCUACGGGAGGCAGCAGUGGGGAAUAUUGGACAAUGGGCGGAAGCCUGAUCCAGCAAUGCCGCGUGAGUGAUGAAGGCCUUAGGGUUGUAAAGCUCUUUUACCCGGGAUGAUAAUGACAGUACCGGGAGAAUAAGCUCCGGCUAACUCCGUG